This 268-nucleotide long non-coding RNA is filed under the name Homo sapiens (human). RNAcentral's name for it is "non-protein coding lnc-ST3GAL1-4:1". Lineage: Eukaryota; Metazoa; Chordata; Mammalia; Primates; Hominidae. The record is from RNAcentral.
AAGAGAGAACAGACUGAGCACAGAGGGGGAAAGAGACAGUUCCAAGAGUUGCCUCCUCAAUUUUUGCCUUCUCAUCCCAUUGUUGGAAAAGUGGAUAUCAUAUCAACACAAAAAUAUGCUGAAAACCAACAUAGAGUGAUCACUGGGUCUGUGAGCAGGUCAAGGGACAAGGAGAUGUCAUUAUCAAAAGAUUGACCAUUAUCAGCCAGAGAGAGGAGGUGACUAAAUCAGUCACGGGAAGAGUCAAGCCCACUUGCCUUUUGUUCGA